AUUGAACGCUGGCGGCAGGCCUAACACAUGCAAGUCGAGCGGAUGAAGGGAGCUUGCUCCUGGAUUCAGCGGCGGACGGGUGAGUAAUGCCUAGGAAUCUGCCUGGUAGUGGGGGAUAACGUCCGGAAACGGGCGCUAAUACCGCAUACGUCCUGAGGGAGAAAGUGGGGGAUCUUCGGACCUCACGCUAUCAGAUGAGCCUAGGUCGGAUUAGCUAGUUGGUGGGGUAAAGGCCUACCAAGGCGACGAUCCGUAACUGGUCUGAGAGGAUGAUCAGUCACGAUGAGACGGAGCCAUGGCCCAGACUCGAAGGGGAGGCAGCGGUGAGGAAUCGUGCAUAAUGGGAAUCAGCCUGCUCCAGCGAUGCGGGUUGUGUGAAGAACGUCUAGGUGAUGAAAAGUACUUUGUGCUGGGAGGAAGGCAAGUAAGUUAAUCCCGGGUUUUUUAGACGUACACAACAGAAUACGCACCGGCUAACUGCGUGCCAGCAGCCGCUUAAUAAUCGAAGAGCAAACGUGCGACC
Molecule: ribosomal RNA, 523 nt
Filed under: uncultured bacterium
Lineage: Bacteria
Description: partial 16S ribosomal RNA
Rfam family: Bacterial small subunit ribosomal RNA
Source: RNAcentral